This 253-nucleotide ribosomal RNA is filed under the name uncultured bacterium. Its description in RNAcentral is "partial 16S ribosomal RNA". It matches the Rfam family "Bacterial small subunit ribosomal RNA", at positions 524 to 776 of the family's 1533-position model. The record is from RNAcentral.
UACAGAGGUCUCAAGCGUUGUUCGGAUUCAUUGGGCGUAAAGGGUGCGUAGGCGGCGCGGUAAGUCGGGUGUGAAAUUUCGAGGCUUAACUUCGAAACUGCAUUCGAUACUGCCGUGCUUGAGGACUGGAGAGGAGACUGGAAUUUACGGUGCAGCGGUGAAAUGCGUAGAUAUCGUAAGGAAGACCAGUGGCGAAGGCGGGUCUCUGGACAGUUCCUGACGCUGAGGCACGAAGGUCAGGGGGGCAAACGGG